UACGAAGGGGGCUAGCGUUGCUCGGAAUCACUGGGCGUAAAGGGCGCGUAGGCGGCCAGACAAGUCAGGGGUGAAAGCCUGUGGCUCAACCACAGAAUGGCCUUUGAUACUGUUUGGCUCGAGACCGGAAGAGGUUGGUGGAACUGCGAGUGUAGAGGUGAAAUUCGUAGAUAUUCGCAAGAACACCGGUGGCGAAGGCGGCCAACUGGUCCGGUUCUGACGCUGAGGCGCGAAAGCGUGGGGAGCAAACAGG
RNAcentral lists this ribosomal RNA (253 nucleotides) under uncultured bacterium. RNAcentral describes it as "partial 16S ribosomal RNA". It matches the Rfam family "Bacterial small subunit ribosomal RNA", at positions 524 to 776 of the family's 1533-position model. The record is from RNAcentral.